Molecule: long non-coding RNA, 41059 nt
Filed under: Selaginella moellendorffii
Lineage: Eukaryota; Viridiplantae; Streptophyta; Lycopodiopsida; Selaginellales; Selaginellaceae
Description: long non-coding RNA (SMOE_LNC001111)
Source: RNAcentral
UCUUGCCCAAAGCAGUGCUUAACUCCUUGUGGAAUGCUCCAGAUUGAUGUGCGUUCCAAGAGUGCUGAGGAUUACCUCCACACCAACCUGGCACCAUCGUUUGGGGCAUUGAAUGCAGAAACAGUGAAGAAGAUGGAUGAGGUUCUCAAGGUUUGCAUCUCGGGAACUACCACUCUUCUCGCCAAAGUGCCACCAGAAGAGCGAACUUGGGAGAAGGUCAACUCCAUGUUCAUGCAAAAUCCCCUGGUUGAGCCAAUGGGCGAUGGGAUUAGCAGAGCUGACAAGUUUCUCAACAAAAGCUCUAGCGAUUUCAAGAUUGACGGGUCACCUGAUGCAGCUAUUGUGAAAGUGGUAAUAGAAGCUAUGUAUUAUGGAAGACCUCUAUUAACCUUUGCGGCCUUCUCUCGUCACAGGUUCAGACCUGGUUUGUGAAUCUCAUUGCAGAUGAGGACGUCCUGAAAUCAACCAAGAUCGACAUUGAAGUUCUUGGGCGCAUUGUUGCUCAGUCAGGGGCGACCAUUACCAGCUUUGAAAAUUUCUUUGCCAAGCAUGAGCACCACGAGAAGACCAUAAUUGACAUCGGGGUCUUAAGGUACCCUGAUAUGCAAAACCCGUACUUCAAGGUUUGUGCCCAGGCUGCCCUUCGUAUUUCAGUCGCAGCUCAUGCUUAUGAGUACAGGUGUACCGCAUCAAACUCUUUGCUUGGUCUGAUAGCAACCGUAUUCUGUUCCAUCAGGAGGAUUCCAAUGGCAUCAUUGGAGGUGAGGUGUCUAAUGUGAACCACUGAAAACUGCACGCUCCUUUUGUUCUAUUUGCAGAGUUCACCUUCCGUAAGUUUAAGCCGCGCAAGGAGGUCAUUGACAAGAUGAACCCAGACGCCAAAAGGAAGGCUGUGGAAGCUGCAGAUAACAUCUUUGGUUUCUAAUAUCUAAAUUGAGCCAAGAUGCCUCUAAAGCUAAAACAUCAAGCUAAAAACAUCUUUCUAAAUACAUGACCUACUUGAAAAUAAUAGCUGUCUAUUGUCUUUAUAUUUUUUAAUCUCAAUUUCUGAAAAGAGACACCAAAAAAAAAGGAACGACAAACAAGUACUUUUGUCAAUGACUGGAACAUUGAAAGGUGAUGAUAAGUUUAUCUAUAUACUGUUUAUAGUCUUGUGGUAGUCUUACGUAUUCUUUGUGAUAUAUUUAAAACGAAACAGGACAGUAUGCCAUGUGGAGAUCAUUAUCAUUGUCUCGUUGGUCUUUGUAGAUUCCUCGCACUCAAGGUUACCACAAGUUAGCCAGGGACACGCUCAAUCAGCUCUAAGCCGAGUUGAUGGCUUAGUCGUGCGGCUGUGAGUGCCAUUUGGCUCUCCAUCUUGCCGGAUUUUCCCAUCCUGUCGCUUUGAUGCAAACGACCCCAGGAACACUGUCGCAAUGAUAUUGUAGAGCAACAAGGUCUCUCAGACAAGGGAAUAUCUAAAUGGAUUUUGACAAGGAACAGAACUUCGAGAAUAGAACUGUAGAGAAUGCUACUGGGCGUUUUUGUUGUAAACGGCUUGGCACAGCGCAGCCAGUGCUGAUGGAACAAGGUAAAGGGAGGCCCUCAAAACCGUCAAGCUUUACCUCCUCCUGUAACUCACGAACUUUGUCGCGAGCACAUUAUAAGUUUUCUUCGGCAAAUGCUUACAUACUGAUCAGUAGGCUUGAGAUCUCCUGCUAUAGGGUCUAGUUUUUAGGAUCCUAGAAAUCUACUCCGGGACAAGACGAUCCAGACGUUAAUACAGUUGUAAAUUUUUUAAAUUAGUUGUUCCGUGAAAUCUAAUAAGCUAAAUGUCCUAAACAGCAACUUCACUUUUUUCUUUUCUUUGUUUCUUGUCAAGCUGAGAACAUAGGUUUGUCUACAAGCAUGAGUUUCUAAAUGAAUAGUCCUGCGUUCUGACAUGGUUGAAUUAUCCUUGCUCAUAUUUACAUUAAGCAAAUAGUUUGACCAUGACCUUAAAAGUCAAUAUUAGUCACAUGGAUUACAUAAUCAAUACACUCUCGCAGCAAGGUGGUCCCUUCGUACUCGGUGCUCACUCCCUCCUCACCUGCCAAAUACCUCCCGACCUCAAGGCUGCUGCCAAACUCGUUGCGGGAGAACGCAAUAACAGCUCUCCAUGCUAGGCAAGAGCGUUCACUUCCACUGGCCACGCCUUCUGAAGAUCAGCCAAGCCUCGCCACAACUCAUAUUGCAGUGGAGUAGAAGAUGGAGGAUGUUUCUGUCCUGCGUCGAUACAAGUCGGGUUCUCCACGCAUUAAGCUGGACCAUCUUCCCUGGGUUCUGGGUGUACAUCCUUCCGCCCUACGUUGAGGAAAGGAAAGAUAUGUCUCCAGCCUUGUAAAUCUUGGUGGAGGGAACAUCUACCGUACAAGAUCUCCGGCCUUGUUGCCCACGGCCAGCCAGCAGCCCCUUGUGAUUUCUUCUUGAUCAGAAUGAGCAUUGAUAUCUCUUCCAGGCACCGAGGAGAUCCUGAAAGCCUGCUCGCUGUAUAUCGUCUGGACCCAACGACGACGUGAAAGCUUUUCUAUCCGACUUCGACGUCUCAACGUCGUGUCCCCACGGAUGAGUUCUUCGAUGUCACGAAUGAGGCUGGGCGGUUUUCCACUUGCUUGGUUCCUUGGUGGCCGGGGAGGAGUACUUCGACGCGACGGCAAUGCAGUUCCAGCGAAUCUGGGACCUGCUGAGAGAUUGUGUGUCCCAAACGCUUAUCGACGAAGGAUUCAUCACGGAACUUCCAUGAUGGAAGUUCUUCAGCAAGUCGAAUCGGCCGCGCAAUAUCAUCAUGGGCCGGGGAAAAAGCGCAUUUGGCGAGGAGAGGAAGAAUCCCAACAAGUUUGAGAAGGCGAAGGCCGAGCUCGCUGUGAAGAUUAUGGAACUCCCUCCCGCAAUGUAUCGGAAGCUCAAGAUUAUGAUAUGCUACGCAGCUGCAGGCCAGUUCGUCCAGUUUUUCGUGCUGCAAGCAAGAAGCGUUGAUUCACUGAGAAAUCUCUGUUUUCUAACGUUCUUUUGGCGCAGGGAGUCCUCACGCCAGUGACUGACGUGCUGGAUGUGACUAAGCACAUACCGUUCAAGCUCUACUUCUUGUUGCUAUGGCCGCUGAAACCCCGUGAGUGAUGAACAAGCUCGCACCGAUUCCGUACUGACUAGAUCGUUGCAGGCCUCCGCUUGAUACGUUUGUUCUCCAUGGUCACUGGGAAGUCAAGCUCACGCUCAAGGGCGCUGUGAAGAGAAUCAUAGACUUCGAAGCGUAUUCUUCCGAGCACGAGGUCUGUCUUGCCGGCCUCGAGGCCGCUUACGUCGCUGCCAUAGAAGGUGGCGGACAUAUGAUUAGUAGCGUGUUCGGGCCUACACUUGAGUCCAAGGAGGUACAACUCAUGCGCGAGGUGACUCUCACUGCCAUCCCGAAGCACAUGUAGGUUCUGACAUCUCGGAAUCAUCAGAACGAUCUUCUUCAUCAGACAGUAGCAGCGGCAGUGGCGGCAGGAGGAGAAAGAGAGCGAGAUUUGCGACGGUCACCAAGAGGACGGAAGCGAUCAAGGAGAUGACGAGGUGGAAACUCUACCACUCUGUGCGAAGAAAUAUCCCGACAAUGAGGAGGACAUGCGCGACAUGGCAUAUGGAGUUUUGCGAGGAUUGAAAGCUUUGCACAAAGCUGGUAAGCUUUCUUAAUUUUCUUUUCUUCUGUCUUUCGAUCUUAGUGUCUGUCUCAUCCUUGUUUGUAAUCCAGGUUUGGUGCACAAGAUCAUGUAUGACUACUUGAAAGAGAAGUACUUGCUGAUCGAUCUCAGCAAGAAUGAAGAAGUGCCAGCGUUUCAAUUUAAAGGCUGGAUCGCGACAAGGCUGGAGGCCGACUGGCGCUACAUUAUUUAAUCCGACUUCCAUCAACUCCGACUCGUACAGAAAUCGAACCAAAGACUUUGGUUCAUCGAUUUCCACCUAGAAUAAGAAUACGCCAUAGAAGAAGAAUUAGGGCGGACGUGGAUUAUGCUUAUUUAUAUUUUACCCUUAAAGUUACCAUCUUAGAAUUUAGGGCUCACGUAGAUUAUUCUUGUUCUUCCUCGGAAAUGCGCGGGGACGAGGAGGAUGAGCGAUCCCGAGGCGUCGGGCUACGUCGUGCUGCUGCGGCGAUCUGGAGGGCGGCCGGCGAUUGCACGCGCAGAUCGUCCGCUCGAGCUGGCACACCGAUCUCUUUGUCAGCAAUCCGCUCCAUCGCCAGCGCAUGGUCGUCUUCCGCAAGCUCUGCGUCCGCAACCUCUUCACCAUCGCCACGCUUGCCCAGAACGGCUGCUUCCGCGACGCGCGAUCCCUGUUCGUGGAAUCCCCCCGCCAUGACGUCGUUACCUGGAACUCGAUGCUCACCAUCGCCGCGCAGCGCCUCCGGAUCGGCGAGGCGCGGGAGGUCUUCGCGCGGAUGCCUGCCGGGGGCGUCGUCUCGGCGAACGCGAUGAUCGCAGCAUUUGCCCAAUGCGGGCAAAUUCGCGAAGCCCAGGAGUUCUUCCGCAACGCCAUGGCCGAGAGGGACGUCUCGAGAUGGAAAAAUCUCCUCCACGCCUGCGUCUCCUCCGGGGAGGUCGAUCUCGCGCGAUCGGUCUUCGAUGCUAUGCCGCACUGGGAUUGUGUCGCGUGGUUGAGCAUGAUCCAGGGCUACGCCGAGCGCUGAUGCACAACACCGAGGAGCUCUUCCUCGCGCUGGAUCAUCCGGAUCUCAUGUCCAUCACGUCCAUGAUCGCGGGCUAUGGAUCCGUGGGGAAGAUCGACCAGGCGAGGGAGCUCUUCUCGCGGAUGAAGCACUGCAACACCGUUGCCUGGAACGUGAUGAUCCAGGCGCUGAGGAGGCGCGGCAGGCAUUCGAUUCGAUGACGGCGCCGAGGAAUCUCUCGUCCUGGAACACGAUCAUCUCGGCCUACGCACAGGCGGGGCUGGUGGAUCGGGCGAGGGAGCUCUUCGAUCAAACCCUGGACAAGAACGUGGUGACCUGGACGGCGGUGAUGCACGUGGCAGCUCCGCAAGGCGCGAUCGAUCCUCGACGCCAUGCCGGAGCCAAACAUCGGAAUCCAUGGCGCUCGACGGUUGCGCGCCCGACGCGAUCACAUUCUCGUGCCACAUUGGAUCGAGCGUGCCUUGGUAAAUGGUAAACUAGAACGGUACCUUCUCUCCCUGUGGGAAUGCCUCGUUCAGAGCUUCAACAUCAUCUUCCAAAAAGACAAGCUCCUGAAUCGAGCUACACAUAUGCGUUUGUCAACAUGAUCACGUCCACCAUUUACUUUUGUUUCUGUGCACAGUGGUGCUCACCUGCUGGACUUUCUUCACAUUUUUUCGAAACAUCCGUCCUUUCUUCCCACCUCUCUCUUCGCGUUAGAGGCCCAAAGUCGCCGUUUUUAGCUCGUUAGAGCGCUUGGCUAGAUCAGUCGCCUCCUGUAAAGCCAUCACCUUGAAGAUAUUAGUUGCAAGAAAUGAGAACAAAUCACACACACACGAGUAAUAACACACUUGGGCCUAUUCUUGAACGCAAAUAUGAGGCUCACUGGUAAUGUUGCCAUUCCAACACCUCCAAACAACUGCAGGAAGGAAAUCAGAUCUUCUAGAAAACAACACAUAAAACGACAUUACCAUGAAGAGUAUUGAUCCUAUUAUUGUGUUUAAUGUGAUCACGUAAGUCACAGAUAGUUUUAACCAGAGAUCCAGACAUAUAAGCUGCACACUGUCACACAAUGUUGUCAGAUCAAUGAAGAAAGGGAAAAUGUAGAAGAAAAGGCUUACCAUGAGAGUAACAUUAGAAAACAAUGAGAAACCAGCCGAAACCAAGCACGAAGCCUUUGCAUUGAGCGAGCUAAAAUCAUUGGUGAACGCCAUCGUUGUGGAUGAAAGACUUCUCAUGGUGAAAUCGGCAUAACCAAUAACAACUUCAAGCAAUCACGUAGAAAAAGGGUUUAAGAACAAAAGAUGGAAAAAAGCUUCUUACCAUAGAGAAUUCCCAAAAGGAGGCAGAAGACUGUGAGGAGUAUCACCACCCACAAGAGAGCGUUCUUUACCCUUUGUGUCACAGUCCUGGAAAUCACCACGAACAAAGAAAGCUUUUGAGAUCAUGGAGGAAUAGAAAGAACUUAAGAAACUCUAGGAGGAGCUCGGUCGAUCGAGUAUUCUAAGAACAAGAACAAAAAGAUGGAAGAUUACUUCUCCUGAUCGCUCUCGUAGAAGAAGAUCGCGAAAGGAAUGAGGAGCACAGUGUCGAUGAUGUAAACCGCCCACCAUAGCUGCUUCAUCGGGAGAGUGAGCUUACACGCCCCGACGUAGAGAUUCUUCUCGCAGGAAUGGCGAUUCGCGACGUCCGCCGGGAGCAUCAGGAUCGAGAGUUGGGCAAUGCUGAGCCCAAUCACGACGAUGAUCUUGGGAAGAUAGGCCUGAUUCUGGAGCGCGUGAUGCCGGGGAUCCAGCGUCUCGAGGAGCUGGAGAACGGGGAGCGUAAUGCCGGUGGCGAUGGAUCCUCAGCUCCUCGGCCGCGGUAAUCUAUAGCGUGCCGGGCGGAUUGAGGGAUCCAGGGCGAUUGUGUGUCGUGGAGCAAUGGGAACCAGCUCCAGCUCUCCUACAUCGAGAAUGCUGUGGGAGGCGGUGGAAGAGUCACGGAGAUUCAUCUGGGAGAAGGAUGGGAUGCCGAGAGGCGGCGACUGGCGUAUGAUUCUCUCCCGGCUUUUGCUCUUCUCCAGAACCAGCGGCAAUUGGGCUACAACCCAGGCGACUGGUCACUGGUAUGAAAAAUUCUUCUCUUUUUCUCUAGAAACGCUAGUUGUGAUCGCAGGUGGGAGCAUGUUUUAGAAUAUAGCAAGAGCAUUCGCAGCGUUCUCGACCAGCCCACUCAAGGCAAGGUUGCGUGAGAGAAUGAUGUGAAAGAUUCAUUUGAUUUAUUUAUUUAUUUUGUGCAGGAGGAGAAGACCUCGAUGCUUAAGGCUGUGUGGGAGCUCAUAGAAGUUUUCUAUGUGGACAGAAGCGCGACAUGGUGGCUUCCGGAGCGUCUUGUAGACUGGCUAGCGGUAAGAAGCAGUGAGUUUUUUCUUGACUUACGAUUGAUUUGCCUGUGAGCUUUGCAGAAGUAUGACAAAGUCCUCUUGAUUGAUGAGGACACUGUACAUUCCAAGGUAGUGUCGUUCCAGCGGAAGCUUUCCGAGAUUCAAGUAAGUUCGAAGUCUUGCAGCUUUUUGUUUUCUCUUUGUGUAUCGUUGUUUAACUUGCACUUGCAGUUUCCCGAAGACGAUGCAGCUUACUGGGAUGCAAUGGCCUCGGCCUUGUCAGUCGGAUGGCUUGACGUUGUUGUAAGUUGUAAAACUGUGCGUGUAAGUUCCAUUGGUAAUCUCAAUCUUCCAGAUAGCGUUCUUGCGGAUGCAUGGAUCAUAUCGAUUGGAUCAGCUUGAUGACCGGCAGGUUUCUUUCUCCAUGCUGUUUUGUUGACUUGCGUUAACUUCCGGAUGCUUUUUUAUGUCUUGGCAGACUGAAAAUGGCCUCGUAGAAGCAGUUACACUGCUCAUUAUGCAAAUGCCGCGGCUGCGCCCGAGGCUCCCUGAUGGAAGUCCUGGUGUUGCUAUAGGUUUUAAGCCUGACUUUUCUAAGGUUUGAUGUGGUUGCAGCAAAGUGUUUAGUUUCUCAGAUUUUAUUACAUGCAGGCGAGGGAAAAAUGGCGAAGUCAGGUUUCCAAGCUUGAAAAUAGUGUGUUUUGGGCGGAAUGCAACCACCGUGGGACGCUUCUUGGUCUUAAGAAGCUAAUACAGGUGCUAUUGGGAAACGUUGAUGUUCUACAGCUCUCUACGUUUCACUGGAUGGAGCUGCUGGUGGCGCAUUUCCUACAUCUGAUACCUUUUUCUUUGGUAUGUAUGAACUGUGUAGUGUGCUCAGUUCACUUGCAAUUAUCGGGUGCAGGUUUUAGAUGGAAUGCGUAGCAUAGCUUCCAAGUGCAAAGGAUUGAAAAGUUCUGGGGACGAAGACCUUCAAGAACUUUUAUCUGCAAUUAUCAGCAACGACACCGAGGUAAAUGCUCUUCCCCGUCACAGUGGAGUUUAAUCUAGUACUAUACAGAUACUCUUGGCGAAGUGUUGGAAGGUUUUCAAUGCCUGGUAAGAACUUCUCAUGUCGAAUAUUGAUAUAAAUUUUCUAUCAGGAUGAUGGCGCAUGUUGAUGAUCUCCUGAUAGCAAAAGGGGAGGACGUUCGAUCUCUUCUUGAAGAAGACAGGCAAACUCUAGGCGGCUUGAGCUUGAAAGAACUCCAUCGUUUGGUUUAUUCUCAAGUACUGUCUUCGCACAGCUUAACCUGGCAGGUAUAUCGUUGAUUUCUUUGUUCUUGAUGUCUGUCUAACAAUUAUCUCAGCUAGCACCUGUUUACCUCGCGGCUUGCCCAAAGCAAGGCCUGGGAAUGCUUGAAGCUCUCCUAAUGAAGCAGAGUUGUUCCAAUCAGAUACUGGCAUUGAAGGUUGGUCUUGGUGUGACGUUUUCUUGAAUCUUAAUGUGAAUUUUGUGCAACAGGCACUAGAGAUAUGCCGCCUCUAUGAGCUUGAUACCGUGAGCACAGCCAUCGCCAGGGUUUAGUAUCCUCUUCCUUUCCAGGCUUGGGGUUCUCACAUGUGUUUUAUGUCUUCCAGGCUGUUGGUGUUCAUAGUUUAAAGCAUGGAAAGAAGGGCCAAGAGAUAAUGUGGCUUCAAUUGGCCCGAGACGAGCAGAGGCUUUCUACUCUUGCGGAUCAGAUUUUGAACACAAUAACGUCUGGUGAAGCUGAUAGUCUGGAUAAUCUCGAGGUAGCAGUCUUACGUUUUAUUUGAUACACGCACACUUUUAACGCUCUUUUCCCGUGCCAGCAUUUUGAGGGUCUCUGUGACAUCCUUGGCUCGGGAGCAACGAAGCAUCAAGGCCUGUCGUUGCUAGCAAGGUACUCACUUUAUACAGUUGCGAAACUAUCCGGAGCUCACUUCUAACUUCACACAGGUACAAAAGCUUUAAGGCAGCGCUGCAAAACAUCAGCGAUCUGCGUCGUAGGGAGGCUUCCUACACCGAAAACCUCGCUGCGCGAGGCAGAGCAGCGGUGACUUCUCUUCUCCAGGUUACCAAUCCGUUCGGAACUUCUUCUUGCUCGCUAAUACCCCGGCUUGCAGCUUCUAAAAUCUGGAACCUUUCCACGUAAAUUCUGGCUGUCCUUGCUCCAAGAAUCAGUAUGGAGCUGUUCUCACAUCUCGUUUACACUCUAAAAUUCGGAUCAAUCAGGUGGAGCUGCUGGAAUGGCCGGAGCAAGUGCUGGUUAGCGAGUCCGAAACAAACACUCUACUCUGCUGCCUCCAGGAACUCUUCCUCGCCAGGGACCGGCUAGAGAACGACAUCCUAGGCACCGCAGAGCCUGGCGCUUUGGAUCGCCUGAGAUUGGCGCUGGCAUCCAACUUGGGCCGUGCCAUCUUGCAAAGCUGAUCGUAGCUUGGCAUAAAUUCUCUCUGUCCAAAAAUCACUAGCUGAUUCUCAGCGUGCAACAAAUGUAGUUGCUCCACCACGAUCGCUGCUGCUUAUGCCGGUUGUCACCACCGCUACCACUGCUACCAGCGCCACCGCUAAACUUUGGCGAGGGGUUUCUAACAUUCUCGAUGGCUUUCAUCAGGACGUUGUUAUUGGUACGCUUGGGUGGUGGCAUCAAUCAACACCUCCCUAUCCUGCCUUGGAAGUCAGGCUCCCAAUCUCAGACAAGCGCAAACAAGCUUUUGCUACUCUCCCCUAACAGUGUGAUUUCACCCUGUGAAUUUCACCCUGUUGACGUUCACGGCCCAUUUCCUUCACCAUCAAUUCUCCGAAGGGUUUUUAAAGUUGUAAAAGUUGACUUAGUGGACCUGUGGGUUUCCACAAGCACUGGUUCCUUUGCGACGCGAUGCGGUUCCGGGCAAAGUCGUCUACUCAUUUGGCGAGGAGAGGACGCUGCAAUCUACCCAGAGCAAUGUACGGCAGUUUAUCAUGCCCUAAAAGCAAUAUGAUACCUGAUUUUCUUGAUAUUGGGACUACUGCAUGGCGUUUUCUGUUUGGUGUAAAUGUGUUUAACUCGUUUUCUGCACUAAACUAAUCUUUCAGACCACCCAAUCACCUUUUGUUACCUGCAGGUUUGGAGGUAUAUGUAUGAGUCAAGCUAUACUUCAUUUUGGGAUAAACAUGUUUUGUGCACUAAACUAACUCAUUUACCCCAUUAUAAAAAUGGAGUCUUCUUCUGGUGUACAUACCUCUUCUGAAGGUGAAUUGCAAUGGCAACCCUGGCGACAAUGCAGGGUGACAUUGUGGCGAAUUUUGAUUUCAGCAAGGUAAGUGGAACCUGUCUUGCCCAAAGCAGUGCUUAACUCCUUGUGGAAUGCUCCAGAUUGAUGUGUGUUCCAAGAGUUCUGAGGAUUACCUCCACAGCAACCUGGCACUAUCGUUUGGGGCAUUGAAUGCAGAAACAGUGAAGAAGAUGGAUGAGGUUCUCAAGGUUUGCAUCUCGGGAACUACCACUCUUCUCGCCAAAGUGCCACCAGAAGAGCGAACUUGGGAGAAGGUCAACUCCAUGUUCAUGCAAAAUCCCCUGGUUGAGCCAAUGGGCGAUGGGGUUAGCAGAGCUGACAAGUUUCUCAACAAAAGCUCUAACGAUUUCAAGUUUGAUGGGUAGCUACUGUGAAAGCGGUAAUAGAGUCAUGUAUUAUGGAAGAGCUCUAUUAACCUUUGCGGCCUUCUCUCGUCACAGGUUCAGGUCUGGUUUGUGAAUCUCAUCGCAGAUGAGAACGUCCUGAAAUCAACCAAGAUCGACAUUAAAGUUGUUGGGGAAAUUGUUGCUCAGUCAGGGGCGACCAUUACCAGCUUUGAAAAUUUCUUUGCCAAGCAUGAGCACCACGAGAAGACCAUAAUUGACAUCGGGGUCUUAAGGUACCCUGAUAUGCAAAACCCGUACUUCAAGGUUUGUGCCCAGGCUGCCCUUUGUAUUUCAGUCACAGCUCAUGCUUACGAGUACAGGUGUACCGCAUCAAACUCUUUGCUUGGUCUGAUAGCAACCGUAUCGUGUUCCAUCAGGAGGAUUCCAAUGGCAUCAUUGGAGGUGAGGUGUCUAAUGUAAACCACUGAAGACUGCACGCUCCUUUUGUUCUAUUUGCAGAGUUCACCUUCCGUAAGCUGCAGAUGACAUCUUUGGUUUCUAAUAUCCAGACUGUGUCAAUUGUCCCCUGCUUCACGCUAAAACACCUUUCUAAAUAAUAAUCAAGUCAUAGACCUUCAUUUACUUGAAAAUAACAGCUAUCUAUUGUCUUAAUAUUUUUUAAUCUCAAUUUCUGAAAAGAGACAAUCAGGGAAACAAAGACUUGAUAUACAAACUACAAUAAAAGUAAUAAAUAUUUAAAACCUAGAUGCUUUAGUACUUUUGUCAAUGUUGCAAACUUUUGCCUUCCAGUGGAACAUUGAAACGUGAUGAUAAAUUUAUCUCUGUCUAUAUACUGUUUAUAGUCUUGUGGUGCCCAUCAAGAAGCAUAAGUAUUCUUUGUGAUAUAUUAAUAAAACGAAACAGGACAGUUUGCCAUGUGAAGAUCAUUAUCAUUGUCUCGUUGGUCUUUGUAGAUUCUUCAUGCUCAAGGUUACCACAAGUUAGCCAGGGACACCCUCAAUCAGCCCUAAGCCAAGUUGAUGGCUUAGUCGUGAGUGCCAUUUGGCUCUCCAUCUUGCUGGAUUUUCCCAUCCUGUCGCUUUGAUGCAAACGACCCCAGGAACACUGUCGCAAUAAUAUUGUAGAAAUGGAUUUUGACAAGGAACAGAACUUUGAAAAUAGAACUUUAGAGAAUACUUGGAACAAGGCAAAGGGUCGAGCUUUUCCUCCUCCUCUAACUCACGAACUUUGUCACCAGCACAUUGUAAGUUUUCUUUUGCAAAUGCUUACGUACUGAUCAGUAGGCGUGACAUCUCCUGCUAUAGGGUCGAGUUUUUAGGAUCCUAGAAAUCUACUCCAGGACAAGACGAUCAAGACGUUAAUACAGUUGUAAUUUUUUUAAAUUAAUAAGCUAAAUGCGCGAAUCUUUCCAAAACAGCAACGUCACUUUGGUCUUUUCUUAGUUUCUUGUCCAGCUGAGAACAGCAAGCAUGAGUUUCUAAAUGAAUACGUCCUGCGUUCUGACAUGGUUGAAUUAUCCUUGCUCAUAUUUACGACCAGUAAACAUUACAUAAUCAACGGCUACUUUGAUUUUCUUUCUCUCGCAGCAAGGUGGUCCCUUCGUACUCGGUGCUCGCUCCCUCCUCGCCUGCCAAAUACCUCCCUGGUAUGGAAGUCCUGGUGUUGCUGUAGGUUUUAAGCCUGACUUUUCUAAGGUUUGAUGUGGUUGCAGCAAAGUUUUUAGUUUCUCAGAUUUUAUUACAUGCAGGCGAGGGAAAAAUGGCGAAGUCAGGUUUCCAAGCUUGAAAAUAGUGUGUUUUGGGCGGAAUGCAACCACUGUGGGACGCUUCUUGGUCUUAAGAAGCUAAUACAGGUGCUAUUGGGAAACGUUGAUAUUCUACAGCUCUCUACGAUUCAGUGGAUGGAGCUGCUGGUGGCGCAUUUCCUACAUCUGAUACCUUUUUCUUUGGCAUGUAUGAACUGUGUAGUGUGCUAAGUUCACAUGCAAUUAUCGGGUGCAGGUCUUAGAUGGAAUGCGUAGCAUAGCUUCCAAGUGCAAAGGAUUGAAAAGUUCUGGGGACGAAGACCUUGAAGAACUUUUAUCUGCAAUUAUCAGCAAUGACACCGAGGUAAAUGCUCUUCCCCGUCACAGUGGCAAGAACUUCUCAUGUCGAAUAUUUAUAUAAAUUUUCUAUCAGGAUGAUGGCGCAUGUUGAUGAUCUCCUGAUAGCAAAAGGGGAGGACGUUCGAUCUCUUCUUGAAGAAGACCUUGACAGAACUCCAUCGUUUGGUUUAUUCUCAAGUACUGUCUUCACACAGCUUAACCUGGCAGGUAUGUCUUUGAUUUCUUUCUUCUUGAUGUCUAAACCGGCUAGAGAACAACAUCCUAAGCACAGCAGAGCCUGGCGCUGUGGAUCACCUGAGAUUGGCACUGGCAUCCAACUUGGGCCGUGCCAUCUUGCAAAGCUGAUCGUUUCUUCGUUGUGAAACAAAGGUAGGAUUUCUUCUUCAACUGUACAAUUUAAGCAAAUAGUUUGACCGUAGAACUUCGCUAAAAGUCAAUAUUUAGUCAACAUAGUCUUCUGUCAUUGAAAAUGUUAGCUUUUCAUUGAUUUUCAAAGCAAUUAAUCUAUACACAUGUACGGCUACGUUGAUUUGUUAGUCACCCUCAGAACCAAGCACUACUACACCAGCGUCGUCCCUUCGUAUUCUGCAGAUGCCCGCAACGCCUCCCUAGUCUCGGGCACCCGAAGCAUCUCACGCCUGCCUUGGAUGGAUACAAGUCGGGCUCCCAAUCUCGGACAAGCCCAAUCAAGCUUUUGCUACUCUUGCAAAAGGCACAUGAAACGAGUGUGUGAUUUCACCCUGUUGACGUUCACGGCGCAUUUCAAUUCACCACUCUCCGAGACUAUGCUGUGAAACUUGACUUAGUGGACCUGUGGUUUUCCACAAGCGCUGGUUCCUUUGUGACGCGAUGCGGUUCCAGCUACCGGCUGGGGCUGCAGUUUAUCAUGCCCUAAAAGCAUAAUAUGAAACGAUACCUGAUUUUUGGCGUUGGGUCAAGCUAGACUACUGCACCGAAGGAGGCUUGGCGUUUUGCACCAAACGCGUUUGGUGUAGAUGCGUUUCCUGCACCGAACUAGUUUUCUGCACUAAACUAAUCUUUCAGAACGCUCAUCCAAAUCACCUUUUGUUUUUUAACCGGGUAUACCUGCAUUUUUGGAAGGAUAUGUAUGACAAAGUCAUGCAGCACGUGCUGCGAUGAGUCACUUCAUUUUGGGAUAAACAUGUUUUGUGCACUAAACUAACUCAUUUACCCCAUUAUAAAAAGUGAGUGUACAUACCUCUUCUGGUGUACAUACUUCUUCUGAAGGUGAAUUGCAAUGGCAACCAUGGUGACAAUGCAGGGAGCCUUCGGUUCAUUGAAGGAGAUUGGUGACAUUGUGGCGAAUUUUGAUUUCAGCAAGGUAAAGUUGAACCUGUCUUGCCCAAAGCAGUGCUUAACUCCUUGUGGAAUGCUCCAGAUUGAUGUGCGUUCCAAGAGUGCUAAGGAUUACCUCCACACCAACCUGGCACCAUCGUUUGGGACAUUGAAUGCAGAAACAGUGAAGAAGAUGGAUGAGGUUCUCAAAGUUUGCAUCUCGGGAACCACAGACCUUCUAGCCAAAGUGGCACCGAAAGAGCGAACUUGGGAGAAGGUCAACUCCAUGUUCAUGCAAAAUCCCCUGGUUGAGCCAAUGGGCGAUGGGAUUAGCAGAGCUGACAAGUUUCUCAACAAAAGCUCUAGCGAUUUCAAGAUUGACGGGUCACCGGACCCAGCUAUUGUGAAAGCGGUAAUAGAGUCAUGUAUUGUGGAAGAGCUCUAUUAACCUUUGCGGCCUUCUCUCGGCACAGGUUCAGGUCUGGUUUGUGAAUCUCAUCGCAGAUGAGGACGUCCUGAAAUCAACCAAGAUCGACAUUAAAGUUGUUGGGGAAAUUGUUGCUCAGUCAGGGGCGACCAUUACCAGCUUUGAAAAUUUCUUUGCCAAGCAUGAGCACCACGAGAAGACCAUAAUUGACAUCGGGGUCUUAAGGUACCCUGAUAUGCAAAACCCGUACUUCAAGGUUUGUGCCCAGGCUGCCUUUUGUAUUUCAGUCACAGCUCAUGCUUACGAGUACAGGUGUACCGCAUCAAACUCUUUGCUUGGUCUGAUAGCAACCGUAUCGUGUUCCAUCAGGAGGAUUCCAAUGGCAUCAUUGGAGGUGAGGUGUCUAAUGUAAACCACUGAAGACUGCACGCUCCUUUUGUUCUAUUUGCAGAGUUCACCUUCCGUAAGUUUAAGCCGCGCAAGGAGACCAUUGACGAGAUGAACCCAGACGCCAAAAAGAAGGCUGUGGAAGCUGCAGAUAACAUCUUUGGUUUCUAAUAUCUAAAUUGAGCCAAAGAUGCCUCAAGCUAAAACAUCUUUCUAAAUACAUGACCUAUAACAGCUAUCUAUUGUCUUUAUAUUUUUUAAUCUCAAUUUCUGAAAAGAGACAAUCAGGGAAACAAAGACUUGACAAUAAAAGUAAUAAAUAUCUAAAACCCAGAUGCUUUGGAUUCCAAGUACUUUUGUCAAUGACUGGAACAUUGAAAGGUGAUGAUAAGUUUAUCUAUAUACUGUUUAUAGCCUUGUGGUAUUCUUACGUAUUCUUUGUGAUAUAUUAAUAAAACGAAACAGGACAGUAUGCCACAUGUGGAGAUCAUUAUCAUUGUCUUGUUGGUCUUUGUAGAUUCUUCGCACUCAAGGUUACCACAAGUUAGCCAGGGACACGCUCAAUCAGCUCUAAGCCGAGUUGAUGGCUUAGUCGUGGGGCUGUGAGUGCCAUUUGGCUCUCCAUCUUGCCGGAUUUUCCCAUCCUGUCGCUUUGAUGCAAACGACCUAGGAACACUGUCGCAAUAAUAUUGUAGAGGAACAAGGUCUCUAGACAAAGGGCUAUAAUAAAUGGAUUUUGACAAGGAACAGAACUUCGAGAAUAGAACUCGUAAAGAAUGCUACGGUCCGUUUUUAGUGUAAACGGCUUGGCAAACGAAUGCCUAUGCUAUUGGAACAAGGCAAAGGGAGGCCCUCAAAACCGUCAAGCUUUACCUCCUUCUGUAACUCACGAACUUUGUCGAGCACAUUAUAAGUUUUCUUUGGCAAAUGCUUACAUACUGAUCAGUAGGCGUGACAUCUCCUGCUAUAGGGUCUAGUUUUUAGGAUCCUAGAAAUCUACUCCGGGAGACGUUAAUACAGUUGUAAAUUUUUUAAAUUAGUUGUUCCGUGAAAUCUAAUAAGCUAAAUGUCCUAAACAGCAACGUCACUUUGGUCNNNNNNNNNNNNNNNNNNNNNNNNNNNNNNNNNNNNNNNNNNNNNNNNNNNNNNNNNNNNNNNNNNNNNNNNNNNNNNNNNNNNNNNNNNNNNNNNNNNNNNNNNNNNNNNNNNNNNNNNNNNNNNNNNNNNNNNNNNNNNNNNNNNNNNNNNNNNNNNNNNNNNNNNNNNNNNNNNNNNNNNNNNNNNNNNNNNNNNNNNNNNNNNNNNNNNNNNNNNNNNNNNNNNNNNNNNNNNNNNNNNNNNNNNNNNNNNNNNNNNNNNNNNNNNNNNNNNNNNNNNNNNNNNNNNNNNNNNNNNNNNNNNNNNNNNNNNNNNNNNNNNNNNNNNNNNNNNNNNNNNNNNNNNNNNNNNNNNNNNNNNNNAAAAUAGUGUGUUUUGGGCGGAUGCACCACCGUGGGACGCUUCUUGGUCUUAAGAAGCUAAUACAGGUGCUAUUGGGAAACGUUGAUGUUCUACAGCUCUCUACGUUUCACUGGAUGGAGCUGCUGGUGGCGCAUUUCCUACAUCUGAUACCUUUUUCUUUGGUAUGUAUGAACUGUGUAGUGUGCUAAGUUCACUUGCAAUUAUCGGGUGCAGGUCUUAGAUGGAAUGCGUAGCAUAGCUUCCAAGUGCAAAGGAUUGAAAAGUUCUGGGGACGAAGACCUUCAAGAACUUUUAUCUGCAAUUAUCAGCAACGACACCGAGGUAAAUGCUCUUCCCAGUACUAUACAGAUACUCUUUGCGAAGUGUACGAAGGUUUUCAAUGCCUGGUAAGAACUUCUCAUGUCGAAUAUUGAUAUAAAUUUUCUAUCAGGAUGAUGGCGCAUGUUGAUGAUCUCCUGAUAGCAAAAGGGGAGGACGUUCGAUCUCUUCUUGAAGAAGACAGGCAAACUCUAGGCGGCUUGAGCUUGAAAGAACUCCAUCGUUUGGUUUAUUCUCAAGUACUGUCUUCGCACAGCUUAACCUGGCAGGUAUAUCGUUGAUUUCUUUGUUCUUGAUGUUUGUCUAACAAUUAUCUCAGCUAGCACCUGUUUACCUCGCGGCUUGCCCAAAGCAAGGCCUGGGAAUGCUUGAAGCUCUCCUAAUGAAGCAGAGUUGUUCCAAUCAGAAACUGGCAUUGAAGGUUGGUCUUGGUGUGACGUUUUCUUGAAUCUUAAUGUGAAUUUUGUGCAACAGGCACUAGAGAUAUGCCGCCUCUAUGAACCUGAUACCGUGAGCACAGCCAUCGCCAGGGUUUAGUAUCCUCUUCUUGCUCCAAGAAUCGGUAUGGAGCUGUUCUCACAUCUCGUUUACACUCUAAACUUCGGAUCGAUCAGAUGGAGCUGCUGGAAUGGCCGGAGCAAGUGCUGGUUAGCGAGUCCGAAACAAACACUCUACUCUGCUGCCUCCAGGAACUCUUCCUCGCCAGGGACCGCCUAGAGAACGACAUCCUAGGCACCGCAGAGCCUGGCGCUGUGGAUCGCCUGAGAUUGGCGCUGGCAUCCAACUUGGGCCGUGCCAUCUUGCAAAGCUGAUCGUUUCUACGAAGGUAGGAAGGAUUUCUUCUUGAACUGUACAAUUCAGAAGCGUGAGUCUAAUUAAGCAAAUAGUUUGACCGUAAAACUUCGCUAAAAGUCAAUUUUUAGUCAACACAGUCUUCAGUUAUUGGAAGUGUUUCAUUGGCUGCCAUUACACACCCCUUUAAUCAGUUGGGUUUAGGGUAGGAUUGUAAUAUUAUUGUUUAAUUUUCGUGGGCAGAAAUAUUUUGAAAGAAUAUUUAACAUGGUGGAUCUAAAGGAAGAUAAUAAACCCUAAGAAAAAGACUAUGGUGACAGGAAGGUGACUUAAAGAUGAUUGCAAUUAUUUCUUGGCGAGGGGAAAAUUGUUAAGCACCAAGUUAGGAUAAUAGGAUAAAAAAAGGACUUUACAAUCAAAUAAUCACCCCUUUAACCAGUUAGGUUAAGGUGUAAAAAAUAGAAUCAUACUCCCAGGCUCCAUCAUGUGGUUCCUGAGCAGUGACACAAAACAAUCUUACUCUUGUUCUUGAUAGCUUGGCAUAAAUUCUCUCUGUCCAAAAAUCACUAGCUGAUUCUCAGCGUGCAACAAAUGUAGUUGCUCCACCACGAUUGCUGCUGCUUAGUCACCACCACUACCACUGCUACCAGCGCCACUGCUAAACUUUGGCGAGGGGUUUCUAACAUUCUCGAUGGCUUUCAUCAGGACGUUGCUAUUGGUAUGCUUGGGUGGUGGCAUCAAUAAAACAGAUGCAUGCAACACCUCCCUAUCCUGCCUUGGCAAUCUCAGACAAGUGCAAACAAGAUUUUGCUACUCUCCCCUAACAGUGUGAUUUCACCCUGUUGACGUUCACGGCCCAUUUCCUUCACCAUCAAUUCUCCAAAGGGUUUUUAAAGUUGUGAAAGUUGACUUAGUGGACCUGUGGUUUUCCACAAGCACUCUACCCAGAGCAAUGUACGGCAGUUUAUCAUGCCCUAAAAGCAUAUGCGUAAAGAAUAUGAUACCUGAUUUUCUUGAUAUUGGGACUACUGCAUGGCGUUUUCUGUUCGGUGUAAAUGCGUUUAACUCGUUUUCUGCACUAAACUAAUCUUUCAGAACGCUCAAUCCACCUAAUCACCUUUUGUUUUUUAACCUGCAGUUUUGGAGGUAUAUGUAUGACAAAGUCAUGCACGAUGAGUCAAGCUAUACUUCAUUUUGGGAUAAACAUGUUUUGUGCACUAAACUAACCCAUUUACCCCAUUAGUCUUCUUCUGGUGUACAUACCUCUUCUGAAGGUGAAUUGCAAUGGCAACCAUGGCGACAAUGCAGGGAGCCUUGGUGACAUUGAGGCGAAUUUUGAUUUCAGCAAGGUAAAGUGGAACCUGUCUUGCCCAAAGCAGUGCUUAACUCCUUGUGGAAUGCUCCAGAUUGAUGUGCGUUCCAAGAGUUCUGAGGAUUACCUCCACACCAACCUGGCACCAUCGUUUGGGACAUUGAAUGCAGAAACAGUGAAGAAGAUGGAUGAGGUUCUCAAAGUUUGCAUCUCGGGAACCACAGACCUUCUAGCCAAAGUGCCACCGAAAGAGCGAACUUGGGAGAAGGUCAACUCCACGUUCAUGCAAAAUCCCCUGGUUGAGCCAAUGGGCGAUGGAGUUAGCAGAGCUGACCAGUUUCUCAACAAAAGCUCUAGCGACUUCAAGAUUGACAGGUCACCGGACCCAGCUACUGUGAAAGCGGUAAAAGAGUCAUGUAUUAUGGAAGAGCUCUAUUAACCUUUGCGGCCUUCUCUCGUCACAGGUUCAGGUCUGGUUUGUGAAUCUCAUCGCAGAUGAGGACGUCCUGAAAUCAACCAAGAUCGACAUUAAAGUUGUUGGGGAAAUUGUUGCUUAGUCAGGGGUGACCAUUACCAGCUUUGAAAAUUUCUUUGCCAAGCAUGAGCACCACGAGAAGACCAUAAUUGACAUCGGGGUCUUAAGGUACCCUGAUAUGCAAAACCCGUACUUCAAGGUUUGUGCCCAGGCUGCCUUUUGUAUUUCAGUCACAGCUCAUGCUUAUGAGUACAGGUGUACCGCAUCAAACUCUUUGUUUGGUCUGAUAGCAACCGUAUUGUGUUCCAUCAGGAGGAUUCCAAUGGCAUCAUUGGAGGUGAGGUGUCUAAUGUAAACCACUGAAGACUGCACGCUCCUUUUGUUCUAUUUGCAGAGUUCACCUUCCGUAAGUUUAAGCCGCGCAAGGAGCUCAUUGACAAGAUGAACCCAGACGCCAAAAAGAAGGCUGUGGAAGACAUCUUUGGUUUCUAAUAUCUAAAUUGAGCCAAAGAUGCCUCAAGCUAAAACAUCUUUCUAAAUACAUGACCUACUUGAAAAUAACAGCUAUCUAUUGUCUUUAUAUUUUUUAAUCUCAAUUUCUGAAAAGAGACAAUCAGGGAAACAAAGACUUGAUAUACAAACUACAAUAAAAGUAAUAAAUAUCUAAAACCUAGAUGCUUUGGAUUCCAAGUACUUUUGUCAAUGUUGCAAACUUUUGCCUUUGAAACGUGAUGAUAAAUUUAUCUCUGUCUAUAUACUGUUUAUAGUCUUGUGGUGCCCAUCAAGAAGCAUAAAUAUUCUUUGUGAUAUAUUACUAAAACGAAACAGGACAGUUUGCCAUGUGAAGAUCAUUAUCAUUGUCUCGUUGGUCUUUGUAGAUUCUUCGUGCUCAAGGUUACCACAAGUUAGCCAGGGACACCCUCAAUCAGCCCUAAGCCGAGUUGAUGGCUUAGUCGUGAGUGCCAUUUGGCUCUCCAUCUUGCUGGAUUUUCCCAUCCUGUCGCUUUGAUGCAAACGACUCCAGGAACACUGUCGCAAUAAUAUUGUAGAAAUGGAUUUUGACAAGGAACAGAACUUCGAAAAUAGAACUUUAGAGAAUGCUACUUGGAACAAGGCAAAGGGAGGCCCACAAAACCGUCGAGCUUUUCCUCCCCCUCUAACUCACGAACUUUGUCACAAGCACAUUGUAAGUUUUCUUUUGCAAAUGCUUACGUACUGAUCAGUAGGCGUGACAUCUCCUGCUAUAGGGUCGAGUUUUUAGGAUCCUAGAAAUCUACUCCAGGACAAGACGAUCAAGACGUUAAUACAGUUGUAAUUUUUUUAAAUUAAUAAGCUAAAUGCGCGAAUCUUUCCAAAACAGCAACGUCACUUUGGUCUUUUCUUAGUUUCUUGUCCAGCUGAGAACAGAGGUUUGUCUAGCUCAAGCAUGAGUUUCUAAAUGAAUACGUCCUGCGUUCUGACAUGGUUGAAUUAUCCUUGCUCAUAUUUACGACCAGUAAACAUUACAUAAUCAACGGCUACUUUGAUUUUCUUCCUCUCGCAGCAAGGUGGUCCCUUCGUACUCGGUGCUCGCUCCCUCCUCGCCUGCCAAAUACCUCCCUGGUAUGGAAGUCCUGGUGUUGCCGUAGGUUUUAAGCCUGACUUUUCUAAGGUUUGAUGUGGUUGCAGCAAAGUUUUUAGUUUCUCAGAUUUUAUUACAUGCAGGCGAGGGAAAAAUGGCGAAGUCAGGUUUCCAAGCUUGAAAAUAGUGUGUUUUGGGCGGAAUGCAACCACCGUGGGACGCUUCUUGGUCUUAAGAAGCUAAUACAGGUGCUAUUGGGAAACGUUGAUGUUCUACAGCUCUCUACGUUUCACUGGAUGGAGCUGCUGGUGGCGCAUUUCCUACAUCUGAUACCUUUUUCUUUGGUAUGUAUGAACUGUGUAGUGUGCUAAGUUCACUUGCAAUUAUCGGGUGCAGGUCUUAGAUGGAAUGCGUAGCAUAGCUUCCAAGUGCAAAGGAUUGAAAAGUUCUGGGGACGAAGACCUUCAAGAACUUUUAUCUGCAAUUAUCAGCAACGACACCGAGGUAAAUGCUCUUCCCAGUACUAUACAGAUACUCUUUGCGAAGUGUACGAAGGUUUUCAAUGCCUGGUAAGAACUUCUCAUGUCGAAUAUUUAUAUAAAUUUUCUAUCAGGAUGAUGGCGCAUGUUGAUGAUCUCCUGAUAGCAAAAGGGGAGGACGUUCGAUCUCUUCUUGAAGAAGACAGGCAAACUCUAGGCGGCUUGAGCUUGAAAGAACUCCAUCGUUUGGUUUAUUCUCAAGUACUGUCUUCGCACAGCUUAACCUGGCAGGUAUAUCGUUGAUUUCUUUGUUCUUGAUGUUUGUCUAACAAUUAUCUCAGCUAGCACCUGUUUACCUCGCGGCUUGCCCAAAGCAAGGCCUGGGAAUGCUUGAAGCUCUCCUAAUGAAGCAGAGUUGUUCCAAUCAGAAACUGGCAUUGAAGGUUGGUCUUGGUGUGACGUUUUCUUGAAUCUUAAUGUGAAUUUUGUGCAACAGGCACUAGAGAUAUGCCGCCUCUAUGAACCUGAUACCGUGAGCACAGCCAUCGCCAGGGUUUAGUAUCCUCUUCCUUUCCAGGCUUGGGGUUCUCACCUGUGUUUUAUGUCUUCCAGGCUGUUGGUGUUCAUAGUUUAAAGCAUGGAAAGAAGGGCCAAGGGAUAAUGUGGCUUCAAUUGGCCCGAGACGAGCAGAGGCUUUCUACUCUUGCGGAUAGCUUUUGAACACAAUAACGUCUGGUGAAGCUGAUAGUCUGGAUAAUCUCGAGGUAGCAGUCUUACGUUUUAUUUGAUACACGCACACUUUUAACGCUCUUUUCCCGUGCCAGCAUUUUGAGGGUCUCUGUGACAUCCUUGGCUCGGGAGCAACGAAGCAUCAAGGCCUGUCGUUCCUAGCAAGGUACUCACUUCAUACAGUUGCAAAACUAUCCGGAGCUCACUUCCAACUUCACGCAGGUACAAAAGCUUUAAGGCAGCGCUGCAAAACAUCAGAGAUCUGCGUUGUAGGGAGGCUUCCUACACCCGAACGGAUUGGUAACCUGGAGAAGAGAAGUCACCGCUGCUCUGCCAAGUGCAGCGAGGUUUUCGUAAAACCCCGGCUUGCAGCUUCUAAAAUCUGGAACCUUUCCACGUAAAUUCUGGCUGUCCUUGCUCCAAGAAUCGGUAUGGAGCUGUUCUCACGUCUCGUUUACACUCUAAACUUCGGAUCGAUCAGAUGGAGCUGCUGGAAUGGCCGGAGCAAGUGCUGGUUAGCGAGUCCGAAACAAACACUCUACUCUGCUGCCUCCAGGAACUCUUCCUCGCCAGGGACCGCCUAGAGAACGACAUCCUAGGCACCGCAGAGCCUGGCGCUGUGGAUCGCCUGAGAUUGGCACUGGCAUCCAACUUGGGCCGUGCCAUCUUGCAAAGCUGAUCGUUUCUACGAAGGUAGGAAGGAUUUCUUCUUGAACUGUACAAUUCAGAAGCGUGAGUCUAAUUAAGCAAAUAGUUUGACCGUAAAACUUCGCUAAAAGUCAAUUUUUAGUCAACACAGUCUUCAGUUAUUGGAAGUGUUAGCUUUUCAUUGGUUUUCAAUGAAUAUAAUUGUUUAAUUUUCGUGGGCAGAAAUAUUCUGAAAGAAUAUUUAACAUGGUGGAUCUAAAGGAAGAUAAUAAACUCUAAGAAAAAGACUAUGGUGACAGGAAGGUGACUUAAAGAUGAUUGCAAUUAUUUCUUGGCGAGGGGAAAAUUGUUAAGCACCAAGUUAGGAUAAUAGGAUAAAAAAACAUUGUUACACACCAGAUCAAAAUAAUAGGAUAAAAAAGGGACUUUACAAUCAAAUAAUCACCCCUUUAACCAGUUAGGUUAAAGUGUAAAAAAUAGAAUCAUACUCCCAGGCUCCAUCAUGUGGUUCCUGAGCAGUGACACAAAACAAUCCUACUCUUGUUCUUGAUAGCUUGGCAUAAAUUCUCUCUGUCCAAAAAUCACUAGCUAAUUCUUAGCGUGCAACAAAUGUAGUUGCUCCACCACGAUCGCUGCUGCUUAUGCCGGUUGUCACCACCACUACCACUGCUACCAGCGCCACUGCUAAACUUUGGCAAGGGGUUUCUAACAUUCUCAAUGGCUUUCAUCAGGACGUUGCUAUUGGUAUGCUUGGGUGGUGGCAUCAAUAAAACAGAUGCAUGCAACACCUCUUUAUCCUGCCUUGGAAGUCAGGCUCCCAAUCUCAGACAAGUGCAAACAAGCUUUCGCUUUCGCAUGAGGUGUCUAAUGUAAACCACUGAAGACUGCACGCUCCUUUUGUUCUAUUUGCAGAGUUCACCUUCCGUAAGUUUAAGCCGCGCAAGUAGACCAUUGACGAGAUGAACCCAGACGCCAAAAAGAAGGCUGUGGAAGCUGCAGAUAACAUCUUUGGUUUCUAAUAUCUAAAUUGAGCCAAAGAUACCUCAAGCUAAAACAUCUUUCUAAAUACAUGACCUACUUGAAAAUAACAGCUAUCUAUUGUCUUUAUAUUUUUUAAUCUUAAUUUCUGAAAAGAGACAAUCAGGGAAACAAAGACUUGAUAUACAAACUACAAUAAAAGUAAUAAAUAUCUAAAACCUAGAUGCUUUGGAUUCCAAGUACUUUUGCCUUCCAGUGGAACAUUGAAACGUGAUGAUAAAUUUAUCUCUGUCUAUAUACUGUUUAUAGUCUUGUGGUGCCCAUCAAGAAGCAUAAGUAUUCUUUGUGAUAUAUUAAUAAAACGAAACAGGACAGUUUGCCAUGUGAAGAUCAUUAUCAUUGUCUCGUUGGUCUUUGUAGAUUCUUCGUGCUCAAGGUUACCACAAGUUAGCCAGCCUCAAUCAGCCCUAAGCCGAGUUGAUGGCUUAGUCGUGAGUGCCAUUUGGCUCUCCAUCUUGCUGGAUUUUCCCAUCCUGUCGCUUUGAUGCAAACGACCCCAGGAACACUGUCGCAAUAAUAUUGUAGAAAUGGAUUUUGACAAGGAACAGAACUUCGAAAAUAGAACUUUAGAGAAUGCUACUUGGAACAAGGCAAAGGGAGGCCCACCAAACCGUCGAGCUUUUCCUCCCCCUCUAACUCACGAACUUUGUCACCAGCACAUUGUAAGUUUUCUUUUGCAAAUGCUUACGUACUGAUCAGUAGGCGUGACAUCUCCUGUUAUAGGGUCGAGUUUUUAGGAUCCUAGAAAUCUACUCCAGGACAAGACGAUCAAGACGUUAAUACAGUUGUAAUUUUUUUAAAUUAAUAAGCUAAAUGCGCGAAUCUUUCCAAAACAGCAACGUCACUUUGGUCUUUUCUUAGUUUCUUGUCCAGCUGAGAACAGAGGUUUGUCUAGCUCAAGCAUGAGUUUCUAAAUGAAUACGUCCUGCGUUCUGACAUGGUUGAAUUAUCCUUGCUCAUACUUACGACCAGUAAACAUUACAUAAUCAACGGCUACUUUGAUUUUCUUUCUCUCGCAGCAAGGUGGUCCCUUCGUACUCGGUGCUCGCUCCCUCCUCGCCUGCCAAAUACCUCCCUGGUAUGGAAGUCCUGGUGUUGCCGUAGGUUUUAAGCCUGACUUUUCUAAGGUUUGAUGUGGUUGCAGCAAAGUUUUUAGUUUCUCAGAUUUUAUUACAUGCAGGCGAGGGAAAAAUGGCGAAGUCAGGUUUCCAAGCUUGAAAAUAGUGUGUUUUGGGCGGAAUGCAACCACCGUGGGACGCUUCUUGGUCUUAAGAAGCUAAUACAGGUGCUAUUGGGAAACGUUGAUAUUCUACAGCUCUCUACAAUUCACUGGAUGGAGCUGCUGGUGGCGCAUUUCCUACAUCUGAUACCUUUUUCUUUGGUAUGUAUGAACUGUGUAGUGUGCUAAGUUCACUUGCAAUUAUCGGGUGCAGGUCUUAAUGCGUAGCAUAGCUUCCAAGUGCAAAGGAUUGAAAAGUUCUGGGGAUGAAGACCUUCAAGAACUUUUAUCUGCAAUUAUCAGCAACGACACCGAGGUAAAUGCUCUUCCCAGUACUAUACAGAUACUCUUUGCAAAGUGUACGAAGGUUUUCAAUGCCUGGUAAGAACUUCUCAUGUCGAAUAUUUAUAUAAAUUUUCUAUCAGGAUGAUGGCGCAUGUUAAUGAUCUCCUGAUAGCAAAAGGGGAGGACGUUCGAUCUCUUCUUGAAGAAGACCUUGACAGAACUCCAUCGUUUGGUUUAUUCUCAAGUACUGUCUUCGCACAGCUUAACCUGGCAUUGAUUUCCUUCUUCUUGAUGUCUAAACCGGCUAGAGAACGACAUCCUAAGCACCGCAGAGCCUGGCGCUGUGGAUUGCCUGAGAUUGGCACUGGCAUCCAACUUGGGCCGUGCCAUCUUGCAAAGCUGAUCGUUUCUUCGUUGUCAAACAAAGGUAGGAUUUCUUCUUGAACUGUACAAUUCAGAAGCGUGAGUCUAAUUGAGCAAAUAGUUUGACCGUAGAACUUCGCUAAAAGUCAAUAUUUAGUCAACAUAGUCUUCUGUCACUGAGAAUGUUAGCUUUUCAUUCAUUUUCAUACUUGAACUCAGCAAUUAAUCUAUACACAUGUACGGCUACGUUGAUUUGUUAGUCACCCUCAGAACCAAGCACUACUACACCAGCGUCCUAGUCUUGGGCACCCGAAGCAUCUCACGCCUGCCUUGGAUGGAUACAAGCCGGGCUCCCAAUCUCGGACAAGCCCAAUCAAGCUUUUGCUACUCUUGCAAAAGGCCCCAGACCAGCGCAUGAAACGAGUGUGUGAUUUCACCCUGUUGACGUUCACGGCCCUUUUCAUUUCACCACUCUCCGAGACGAUGCUGUGAAACUUGACUUAGUGGACCUGUGGUUUUCCACAAGCGCUGGUUCCUUUGCGAUGCGAUGCGGUUCCAGCGACCGGCUGGGGCAAAGCCGUCUACGCAUUUGGCGAGGAGAGGAAGAAUCCCAACAAGUUAAGUGGCGUUGGGUCAAGCUAGACUACUGCACCGAAGGAGGCUUGGCGUUUUGGACCGAACGUGUUUGGUGUAGAUGCGUUUCCUGCACCGAACUAGUUUUCUGCGCUAAACUAAUCUUUCAGAACGCUCAUCCAAAUCACCUUUUGUUUUUUAACCGGGUAUACCUGCAAUUUUUGGAGGUAUAUGUAUGACAAAGUCAUGCAGCACGUGCUGCGAUGAUACUUCAUUUUGGGAUAAACAUGUUUUGUGCACUAAACUAACUCAUUUACCCCAUUAUAAAAAGUGAGUGUACAUACCUCUUCUGGUGCACAUACUUCUUCUGAAGGUGAAUUGCAAUGGCAACCAUGGCAACAAUGCAGGGAGCCUUCGGUUCAUUGAAGGAGAUUGGUGACAUUGUGGCGAAUUUUGAUUUCAGCAAGGUAAAGUUGAACCUGUCUUGCCCAAAGCAGUGCUUAACUCCUUGUGGAAUGCUCCAGAUUGAUGUGCGUUCCAAGACUGCUGAGGAUUACCUCCACACCAACCUGGCACCAUCGUUUGGGGGAUUGAAUGCAGAAACAGUGAAGAAGAUGGAUGAGGUUCUCAAAGUUUGCAUCUCGGGAACCACAGACCUUAUAGCCAAAGUGGCACCGAAAGAGCGAACUUGGGAGAAGGUCAACUCCAUGUUCAUGCAAAAUCCCCUGGUUGAGCCAAUGGGCGAUGGGAUUAGCAGAGCUGACAAGUUUCUCAACAAAAGCUCUAGCAAUUUCAGGAUUGACGGGUCACCGGACCCAGCUAUUGUGAAAGCGGUAAUAGAAUCAUGUAUUAUGGAAGAGCUCUAUUAACCUUUGCGGCCUUUUCUCGUCACAGGUUCAGGUCUGGUUUGUGAAUCUCGUCGCAGAUGAGGACGUCCUGAAAUCAACCAAGAUCGACAUUAAAGUUCUUGGGGAAAUUGUUGCUCAGUCAGGGGCGACCAUUACCAGCUUUGAAAAUUUCUUUGCCAAGCAUGAGCACCACGAGAAGACCAUAAUUGACAUCGGGGUCUUAAGGUACCCUGAUAUGCAAAACCCGUACUUCAAGGUUUGUGCCCAGGCUGCCCUUUGUAUUUCAGUCACCGCUCACGUUUUUGAGUACAGGUGUACCGCAUCAAACUCUUUGCUUGGUCUGAUAGCAACCGUAUUGUGUUCCAUCAGGAGGAUUCCAAUGGCAUCAUUGGAGGUGAGGUGUCUAAUGUAAACCACUGAAAGACUGCACGCUCCUUUUGUUCUAUUUGCAGAGUUCACCUUCCGUAAGUUUAAGCCGCGCAAGGAGGUCAUUGACAAGAUGAACCCAGACGCCAAAAGGAAGGCCGUGGAAGCUGCAGAUAACAUCUUUGGUUUCUAAUCCAAGAUGCCUCAAGCUAAAACAUCUUUCUAAAUACAUGACCUACUUGAACUAUCUAUUGUGUUUAUAAAAUAAUCACAAUCAGGGCAUAGACAAUAAAAGUAAUAAAUAUCUAAAACCUAGAUGCUUUGGAUUCCAAGAUGAUAAGUUUAUCUAUAUACUGUUUAUAGUCUUGUGGUAGUCUUAUGAUAUAUUAAUAAAACGAAACAGGACAGUAUGCCAUGUGUAUCAUUGUCUUGUUGGUCUUUGUAAAUUCUUCGCACUCAAGGUUACCACAAGUUAGCCAGGGACACCCUCAAUCAGCUCUAAGCCGAGUUGAUGGCUUGGUCGUGCGGCUGUGAGUGCCAUUUGGCUCUCCAUCUUGCCGUCGCUUUGAUGCAAACGACCACAGGAACACUGUCGCAAUAAUAUUGUAGAGCAACAAGGUCUCUCAGACAAGGGAAUAUCUAAAUGGAUUUUGACAAGGAACAGAACUUCGAGAAUAGGACUGUAGAGAAUGCUACUGGGCGUUUUUAUUGUAAACGGCUUGGCACAGCGCAGCCAGUGCUGAUGGAACAAGGCAAAGGGAGGCCCUCAAAACCGUCAAGCUUUACCUCCUUCUGUAACUCACGAACUUUGUCGCGAGCACAAUAUAAGUUUUCUUUGGCAAAUGCUUACAUACUGAUCAGUAGGCGUGACAUCUCCUGCUAUAGGGUCUAGUUUUUAGGAUCCUAGAAAUCUACUCCGGGAGACGUCAAUACACCAACUUACAAAGAAAAUUAAUAUUGCAGGUGCUUUUAUGCUGCCAAAAUUUGAGUUGUAAAUUUUUUAAAUUAGUUGUUCCGUGAAAUCUAAUAAGCUAAAUGUGCGAAUCUUUCCAAAACAGCAACUUCACUUUUUUCUUUUCUUUGUUUCUUGUCCAGCUGAGAACAUAUGAAUAGUCCUGCGUUCUGACAUGGUUGAAUUAUCCUUGCUCAUAUUUACAUUAAGCAAAUAGUUUGACCAUGACCUUCUUAAAAGUCAAUAUUAGUCACAUGGAUUACAUAAUCAAUACACUUGUAUACUUUGCUCUCGCUGCAAGGUGGUCCCUUCGUACUCGGUGCUCGCUCCCUCCUCACCUGCCAAAUACCUCCCAACCUCAAGGCUGCUGCCAAACUCGUUGCGGGAGAACGCAAUAACAGCUCUCCAUGCUAGGCAAGAGCGUUCACUUCCACUGGCCACGCCUUCUGAAGAUCAGCCAAGCCUCCCCACGACUCAUAUUGCAGUGGAGUAGAAGAUGGAGGAUGUUUCUGUCCUGCGUCGAUACAAGUCGGGUUCUCCACGCAUUAAGCUGGACCAUCUUCCCUGGGUUCUGGGUGUACAUCCUUCCGCCCUACGUCGAGGAAAGGAAAGACAAGCUUGAUCUUGUCUCCAGCCUUGUAAAUCUUGGUGGAGGGAACAUCUUCCGUACAAGCUCGCCCGCCUUGUUGCCCUGCUGACGGGGACGGCCAGCCAGCAGGCCCUCGUGAUUUCUUCUUGAUCAGAAUGAGCAUUGAUAUCUCUUCCAGGCACCGAGGAGAUCCUGAAAGCCUGCUCGCUGUAUAUCGUCUGGGCCCGACGACGACGUGAAAGCUUUUCUAUCCGACUUCGACGUCUCGACGUCGUGUCCCCCCUCCUUCCUCCAUGGAUGAGUUCUUCGAUGUCACGAAUGAGGCUGGGCGGUUUUCCACUUGCUUGGUUCCUUGGUGGCCGGGGAGGAGUACUUCGACGCGACGGCAAUGCAGUUCCAGCGAAUCUGGGACCUGCUGAGAGAUUGUGUGUCCCAAACGCUUAUCGACGAAGGAGUCAUCACGGAACUUCCAUGAUGGAAGUUCUUCAGCAAGUCGAAUCGGCCGCGCAAUAUCAUCAUGGGCCGGGGAAAAAGCGCAUUUGGCGAGGAGAGGAAGAAUCCCCACAAGUUUGAGAAGGUGAAGGCCGAGCUCGCUGCGAAGAUUAUGGAACUCCCUCCGGCAAUGUAUCGGAAGCUCAAGAUUAUGAUAUGCUACGCAGCUGCAGGCCAGUUCGUCCAGUUUUUCAUGCUGCAAGCAAGAAGCGUUGAUUCACUGAGAAAUCUCUGUUUUCUAACGUUCUUUUGGCGCAGGGAGUCCUCACGCCAGUGACUGACGUGCUGGAUGUGACUAAGCACAUACCGUUCAAGCUCUACUUCUUGUUGCUAUGGCCGCUGAAACCCCGUGAGUGAUGAACAAGCUCGCACCGAUUCCGUACUGACUAGAUCGUUGCAGGCCUCCGCUUGAUACGUUUGUUCUCCAUGGUCACUGGGAAAUCAAGCUCACGCUCGAGGGCGCUGUGAAGAGAAUCGUAGACUUCGAAGCGUAUUCUUGCAAACACGAGGUCUGUCUUGCCGGCCUCGAGGCCGCUUACAUCGCUGCCAUAGAAGGUGGCGGACAUAUGAUCAGUAGCGUGUUCGGGCCUACACUUGAGUCCAAGGAGGUACAACUCAUGCGCGAGGUGACUCUCACUGCCAUCCCGAAGCACAUGUAGGUUCUGAUAUCUCGGAAUCAUCAGAACGAUCUUCUUCAUCAGACAGUAGCAGCGGCAGUGGCGGCAGGAGGAGAAAGAGAGCGAGAUUUGCGACGGUCACCAAGAGCACGGAAGCGAUCAAGGAGAUGAAGGCGGUCUAUGAGGUGGAAACUCUACCACUCUGUGUGAUGAAAUAUCCCGACAAUGAGGAGGACAUGCGCGACAUGGCAUAUGGAGUUUUGCGAGGAUUGAAAGCUUUGCACAAAGCUGGUAAGCUUUCUUAAUUUUCUUUUCUUCUGUCUUUCGGUCUUAGUGUCUGUCUCAUCCUGGUUUGUAAACUUCCAGGCUUGGUGCACAAGAUCAUGUAUGACAAGAAGUACUUGCUGAUCGAUCUCAGCAAGAAUGAAGAAGUGCCAGCGUUUCAAUUUAAAGGCUGGAUCGCGACAAGGCUGGAGGCCGACUGGCGCUACGUGAUUUAAUCCGACUUCCAUCAACUCGGACUCGUGCUCCAGUCUACAGAAAUCGAACCAAAGACUUUGGUUCAUCGAUUUGCUCUUGAGCAGACCUCAGGUCAACCACUGCUAAAAGGCUUUUAGUGAACACACAUAGAAUAAGAAUAUGCCAUAGAAGAAGAAUUAGGGCGGACGUGGAUUAUGCUUCGCUUGGAUUUUUCUAUCCUUAGAAUAUGCUUUAAACUCAAACGAAUUUUAGGGCACGACAGAUGCCCCUAGUCUUCUUCUUCCUCGGAAAUGCGCGGGGACGAGGAGGAUGAGCGAUCCCGGGGCGUCGGGCUACGUCGUGCUGCUGCGGCGAUGCAUCGCGGGCAGGGAUCUGGAGGGCGGCCGGCGAUUGCACGGGCUGGCACACCGAUCUCUUCGUCGCCAAUCUCCUCAUCCAGAUGUAUGGCGCCUGCCGCUCCAUCGCCAGCGCAUGGUCGUCUUCCGCGAGCUCCGCGUCCGCAACCUCUUCACCAUCAACAUCACCAUCGCCGCGCUUGCCCAGAACAGCUGCUUCCGCGACGCGCGAUCCCUGUUCGUGGAAUCCCCCCGCCGCGACGUCGUUACCUGGAACUCGAUGCUCACCAUCGCCGCGCACCGCCUCCGGAUCGGCGAGGCGCGGGAGGUCUUCGCGCGGAUGCCUGCCCGGAGCGUCGUCUCUGCGAACGCGAUGAUCGCAGCAUUUGCCCAAUGCGGGCAAAUUCGCGAAGCCCAGGAGUUCUUCCGCGACGCCAUAGCCGAGAGGGACGUCUCGAGCUGGAACAAUCUCCUCCACGCCAGCGUCUCCUCCAGCGAGGUCGAUCUCGCGCGAUCGGUCUUCGAUGCUAUGCCGCACUGGGAUUGUGUCGCGUGGUUGAGCAUGAUCCAGGGCUACGCCGAACGCUGAUGUGCAACGCCGAGGAGCUCUUCCUCGCGCUGGAUCAUCCGGAUCUCAUGUCCAUCACGUCCAUGAUCGCGGGCUAUGAAGAUCGACCAGGCGAGGGAGCUCUUCUCGCGGAUGAAGCACUGCAACACCGUUGCCUGGAACGUGAUGAUCCCGGCGCUGAGGAGGCGCGGCAGGCAUUCGAUUCGAUGACGGCGCCGAGGAAUCUCUCGUCCUGGAACACGGUCAUCUCGGCCUACGCACAGGCGGGACUGGUGGAUCGCGCGAGGGAGCUCUUCGAUCAAACCCUGGACAAGAACGCGGUGACCUGGACGGCGGUGAUGCACGCGGCAGCUCCGCGAGGCGCGAUCGAUCCUCGACGCCAUGCCGGAGCCAAACAUCGUGUCGUGGACGACGAUGAUCACGGCCUUACGCGCAGCACGGCGCCGGCGCCGACGCGAUCCAGCUCUUCCGGAUCAUGGAUCUUGAGACGAUCGUGAGCGUGCUUUUCGCGGCCACGGCGAUCCAAGAUCCAUCGCUAGCGCACCACAUCCUGCCCGAUAUCCGCCACAGCGCCUCUACCGCGAGGGCGCGGUGGGGAAUUCUCUCGUCCAUCUCUUCAGCCGAUCGGGACGGCUGGACGACGCGCGCGAGAUCUUCCAGGGGAUGAUCGACAGAGCACGGUUUCUUGGAAUAUCGCCAUCACGGCCACGGCCAAGGCCGCUCCAGCUGCUGGAAUCCAUGGUGCUCGACGGUUGCGCGCCCGACGCGAUCACAUUCUCGUGUCACAUUGGAUCGCUGGAUCACCUUGUUGAACAUAGAGGAUUGAAAAUAAACGUUUAAAAGAAACGUGCCUUGGUACCUAUAGUUUCAUGAUAAAAACCAUCACAUUCUAGAAAAUGCAUUUUACGAAAACAUGCUUACUUCAUGGGAUGAAUGGAAAGCAACAGAAGCCUCAUUCCCAGAUGCAUUUCUCCAGAUAUAACAGACAUGACGAGGUAGUAGCAAAAGAUUGCAAAUGUGGUGGUUCCUAGCAAGCCUGAAAGGAAGGAAACUAUUCAGGUCUAGAGAUCGCAUCGACAGAAAGUACCCCAGGCACUGUCAAGCUGAAUAAAGACUUGGUUCAGAAACGGAAAAGCUGGAGGAUUGACAAGCAUGAAAACAAUGAUGUGGAGAAGCCAAAUUAUAGACAAAGCCAAACUGCAACAAGAGAAAUAAUAAGACUGAAUCUUUUUCUUAAGACUUAAAAGACUUUCUUACCUGACAAUGCCAAAAACAAGCUUGGCUAGCUAGAAGAGAACCGUAAGAGCCCAGGAUGUGUCUGCCUGAGAGUAAACCAACAUUAGAAUCAACACAAAAACUUAAAUGGUAAACUAGAACGGUAGCUUCUCUCCCUGUGGGAAUGCCUCGUUCAGAGCUUGAACAUCAUCUUCCAAAAAGACAAGCUCCUGAAUCGAGCUACACAUAUGCGUUUGUCAACACGAUCACGUCCACCAUUUACUUUUGUUUCUGUGCGCAGGGGUGCUGACCUGCUGGACUUUCUUCACAUUUUUUCGAAACUUCCGUCCUUUCUUCCCACCUCUCUCUUCGCGUUGGAGGCCCAAAGUCGCCGUUUUUAGCUCGUUAGAGCGCUUGGCUAGAUCAGUCGCCUCCUGUAAAGCCAUCACCUUGAAGAUAUUAGUUGCAAGAAACGAGAACAAAUCACACACACACACACCUUUACGUAUUGAGCACGAGUAGUAACACACUUGGGCCUAUUCUUGAACGCAAAUAUGAGGCUCAGUGGUAAUGUUGCCAUUCCAACACCUCCGAACAUCUGCAGGAAGGAAAUCAGAUCUUCUAGAAAACAACACAUAAAACGACAUUACCGUGAAGAGUAUUGAUCUUAUUAUUGUGCUUAAUGCGAUCAUGUAAGUCGGGAAGGGCGCACGCCCAGACCACGUAGUUUUAACCAGAGAUCCAGACGUAUAAGCUGCACACUGUCACACAAUAUUGUCAGAUCAAUGAAGAAAGGGAAAAUGUAAAAGAAAAAGUUUACCAAAUCAUUGGUGAAUGCCAGCGUCGUGGAUGAAAGAUGUCUCACGGUGAAAUCAGCAUAGCCGAUCACAGCUUCAAGCAAUCACGUAAAAAAAGGGUUUAAGAACAAAAGAUGGAAAAGAGCUUCUCACCAUAGAGAAAUCCCAAGAGGAGGCAGAGGACUGUGAGGAGUAUCACCACCCGUUCUUUACCCUUUGUGUCACAGUCCUGGAAAUCACCACGAACAAAGAAAGCUUUUGAGAUCAUGGAGGAAUAGAAAGAACUUAAGAAACUCUAGGAGGAGCUCGGUCGAUUGAGUGUUCUAAGAACAAGAAGAAAAAGAUGGAAGAUUACUUCUCCUGGUCGCUCUCGUAGAAGAAGAUCGCGAAAGGAGUGACGAGAUAGACGAGCACAGUGUCGAUGAUGUAAACCGCCCACCAUAGCUGCUUCAUCGGGAGAGUGAGCUUACACGCCCCGACGUAGAGAUUCUUCUCGCAGGAAUGGCGAUUCGCGACGUCCGCCGGGAGCAUCAGGAUCGAGAGUUGGGCAAUGCUGAGCCCAAUCACGACGAUGAUCUUGGGAAGGUAGGCCUGAUUCUGGAGCGCGUGAUGCCGGGGAUCCGGCGCCUCGAGGAGCUGGAGAACGGGGAGCGUAAUGCCGGUGGCGAUGGAUCCUCCAGCUCCUCGGCCGCGGUAAUCUAUAGCGUGCCGGGCGGAUUGAGGGAUCCAGGGCGAUUGUGGGUGUCGUGGAGCAAUGGGAACCAGCUCCAGCUCUCCUACAUCGAGAAUGCUGUGGGAGGCGGCGGAAGAGUCACGGAGAUUCAUCUGGGAGAAGGAUGGGAUGCCGAGAGGCGGCAUGAUUCUCUCCCGGCUUUUGCUCUUCUCCAGAACCAGCGGCAAUUGGGCUACAACCCAGGCGACUGGUAUGAAAAAUUCUUCUCUUUUUACUCUAGAAACGCUAGGUGUGAUCGCAGGUGGGAGCAUGUAUUAGAGUAUAGCAAGAGCAUUCACAGCGUUCUCGACCAGCCCACGCAAGGCAAGGUUAGCCAUUGUAUCAUGCGUGAGCGAAUGAUGUGAAAGAUUUUUUUUGUUUUUUUCUUGCAGGGGGAGAAGACCUCGAUGUUUAAGGCUGUGUGGGAGCUCAUAGAAGUUUUCUAUGUGGACAGAAGCGCGACAUGGUGGCUUCCGGAGUGUCUUGUAGACUGGCUAGCGGUAAGAAGCAGUGAGUUUUUUCUUGACUUAUGAUUGAUUUGCCUGUGAGCUUUGCAGGAGUACGACGAAGUCCUCUUCAGUGAUGAAGACACUGUACAUUCCAAGGUGGUGUCGUUCCAGCGGAAGCUUUCCGAGAUUCAAGUAAGUUCGAAGUCUUGCAGCUUUUUGUUUUCUCUUUGUGUAUCAUUUUUUAACUUGCACUUGCAGUUUCCCGAAGAUGAUGUAGCUUUCUGGGAUGCAAUGGCUUCGGCGUUGUCAGUCGGAUGGCUUGACGUUGUUGGAAGUUGUAAAACUGUCCGUGUAAGUUUCAUUGGUAAUCUUAAUCUUCCAGAUAGCUUUCUUGCGGAUGCAUGGAUCGUAUCGAUUGGAUCAGCUUGAUCACCGGCAGGUUUCUUUCUUCAUGCUGUUCUGUUGACUUGCGUUAACUUCCGGAUGCUUUUUUAUGUCUUGGCAGACUGAAAAUGGCCUCUUAGAAGCAGUUACACUGCUCAUUAUGCAAAUGCCGCGGCUGCGCCCGAGGCUCCCUGAUGGAAGUCCUGGUGUUGCUAUAGGUUUUAAGCCUGACUUUUCUAAGGUUUGAUGUGGUUGCAGCAAGUUUCUCAGAUUUGAUUACAUGCAGGCGAGGGAAAAAUUGGCGAAGUCAGGUUUCCAAGCUUGAAAAUAGUGUGUUUUGGGCGGAAUGCAACCACCGUGGGACGCUUCUUGGUCUUAAGAAGCUAAUACAGGUGCUAUUGGGAAACGUUGAUGUUCUACAGCUCUCUACGUUUCACUGGAUGGAGCUGCUGGUGGCGCAUUUCCUACAUCUGAUACCUUUUUCUUUGGUAUGUAUGAACUGUGUAGUGUGCUAAGUUCACUUGCAAUUAUCGGGUGCAGGUCUUAGAUGGAAUGCGUAGCAUAGCUUCCAAGUGCAAAGGAUUGAAAAGUUCUGGGGACGAAGACCUUGAAGAACUUUUAUCUGCAAUUAUCAGCAACGACACCGAGGUAAAUGCUCUUCCCCGUCACAGUGGUAAGAACUUCUCAUGUCGAAUAUUUAUAUAAAUUUUCUAUCAGGAUGAUGGCGCAUGUUGAUGAUCUCUUGAUAGCAAAAGGGGAGGACGUUCGAUCUCUUCUUGAAGAAGACCUUGACAGAACUCCAUCGUUUGGUUUAUUCUCAAGUACUGUCUUCGCACAGCUUAACCUGGCAGGUAUGUCUUUGAUUUCUUUCUUCUUGAUGGGCAUCCAGCCAUCUUGCAAAGCUGAUCGUUUCUUCGUUGUCAAACAAAGGUAGGAUUUCUUCUUGAACUGUACAAUUCAGAAGCGUGAGUCUAAUAGUUUGACCGUAGAAUUUCGCUAAAAGUCAAUAUUUAGUCAACAUAGUCUUCUGUCAUUGAAAAUGUUAGCUUUUCAUUGAUUUUCAUACUUGAACUCAGCAAUUAAUCUAUACACAUGUACGGCUACGUUGAUUUGUUAGGCACCCUCAGAACCAAGCACUGCUACACCAGCGUCGUCCCUUCGUACUCUGCAGAUGCCCGCAACGCCUCCCUAGUCUCAGGCACCCGAAGCAUCUCACGCCUGCCUUGGAUGGAUAUAAGUCGGGCUCCCAAUCUCAGACAAGCCCAAUCAAGCUUUUGCUACUCUUGCAAAAGGCCCCAGACCAGCGCAUGAAACGAGUGUGUGAUUUCAUCACGGCCCAUUUCAUUUCACCACUCUCCGAGACGAUGCUGUGAAACUUGACUUAGUGGACCUGUGAUUUUCCACAAGCGCUGGUUCCUUUGCGACGCGAUGUGGUUCCAGCGACCGGCUGGGGCAAAGCCGUCUACGCAUUUGGCGAGGAGAGGAAGAAUCCCAACAAGUUAAAUGCUGUAGGUUAUCAUGCCCUAAAAGCAUAUGCAUAAAGAAUAUGAAACGAUACCUGAUUUCUGGCGUUGGGUUAAGCUCCGAAGGAGGCUUGGCGUUUUGCACCAAACGCGUUUGGUGUAGAUGCGUUUCCUGCACCGAACUAGUUUUCUGCACUAAACUAAUCUUUCAGAACGCUCAUCCAAAUCACCUUUUGUUUUUUAACCGGGUAUACCUGCAUUUUUUUGGAGGUAUAUGUAUGACAAAGUCAUGCAGCACUGAGUCACUUCAUUUUGGGAUAAACAUGUUUUGUACACUAAACUAACUCAUUUACCCCAUUAUAAAAAGUGAGUGUACAUACCUCUUCUGGUGUACAUACUUCUUCUGAAGGUGAAUUGCAAUGGCAACCAUGGCGACAAUGCUGGGAGCCUUCGGUUCAUUGAAGGAGAUUGGUGACAUUGUGGCGAAUUUUGAUUUCAGCAAGGUAAAGUUGAACCUGUCUUGCCCAAAGCAGUGCUUAACUCCUUGUGGAAUGCUCCAGAUUGAUGUGCGUUCCAAGACUGCUGAGGAUUACCUCCACACCAACCUGACACCAUCGUUUGGGGGAUUGAAUGCAGAAACAGUGAAGAAGAUGGAUGAGGUUCUCAAAGUUUGCAUCGCGGGAACCACAGACCUUCUAGCCAAAGUGCCACCGAAAGAGCGAACUUGGGAGAAGGUCAACUCCAUGUUCAUGCAAAAUCCCCUGGUUGAGCCAAUGGGCGAUGGGAUUAGCAGAGCUGACAAGUUUCUCAACAAAAGCUCUAACGAUUUCAAGUUUGACAGGUCACCGGAUGCAGUUAUUGUGAGAGCGGUAAUAGAAGUUAUGUAUUAUAGAAGAGCUCUAUUAACCGUUGCGGCCUUCUCUCAUCACAGGUUCAGACCUGGUUUGUGAAUCUCAUUGCAGAUGAGGACGUCCUGAAAUCAACCAAGAUCGACAUUGAAGUUCUUGGGCGCAUUGUUGCUCAGUCAGGGGCGGCCAUUAACAGCUUUAAAACUUUCUUUGCCAACGAUGAGCACCACGAGAAGACCAUAAUUGACAUCAGGGUCUUAAUGUACCCUGAUAUCCAAAACCCGUACUUCAAGGUUUGUAUUUCUUCAGCCGUUCCCAGCCCUUCGUAUUUCAGUCACAGCUCAUGUUUUUGAGUACAGGUGUACCGCAUCAAACUCUUUGCUUGGUCUGAUAGCUACCGUAUUCUGUACCAUCAGGAGGAUUCCAAUGGCAUCACUGGAGGUGAGGUGUCUAAUGUGAACCACUGAAAACUGCACGCUCCUUUUGUUCUAUUUGCAGAGUUCACCUUCCGUAAGUUUAAGCCGCGCAAGGAGGUCAUUGAGAACAUGAACCCAGAUGCCAAAAAGAAGGCUGUGGAAGCUGCAGAUAACAUCUUUCGUUUCUAAUAUCCAGGCUGUGUCAAUCGAGCCAAGAUGCCCUUUGCUUCAAGCUAAAACAUCUUCCUAGAUAAUAAUGAUCUAUUGUGUUUACAUGUUUUAAUCUCAAUUUCUGAAAAGAGACAAUCAGCCUGGAACGACAAACUACAAUAAAGUAAUAAAUAUCUAAAAGCUAGAUGCUUUGGAUUCCAAGUACUUUUGUCAAUGUAGCAAUGUUUUGCCUUCCACUGGAACAUUGAAAGGUGAUGAUAAGUUUAUCUAUCUAUCUAUAUACUGUUUAUAGUCUUGUGGUGCCCAUCAAGUAUUCUUUGUGAUAUAUUAAUAAAACGAAACAGGACAGUUUGCCAUGUGUAGAUCAUUGUCUCGUUGGUCUCUGUAGGUUCUUCGCGCUCAAGGUUACCACAAGUUAGCCAGGGACACGCUCAAUCAGCUCUAAGCCUCUGGUGCUGGAUUUUCCGAUCCUGUCGCUUUGAUGCAAACGACCCCGGGAACACUGUCGCAAUAAUAUUGUAGAGCAACAAGGUCUCUCAGACAAGGGAAUAUCUAAAUGGAUUUUGACAAGGAACAGAACUUCGAAAAUAGAACUUUAGAGAAUGCUACUUGGAACAAGGCAAAGGGAGGCCCUCAAAACCGUCGAGCUUUUCCUCCUCUAACUCACGAACUUUGUCACGAGCACAUUGUAAGUUUUCUUUUGCAAAUGCUUACGUACUGAUCAGUAGGCGUGAUAUCUCCUGCUAUAGGGUCGAGUUUUUAGGAUCCUAGAAAUCUACUCCGGGACAAGACGAUCAAGACGUUAAUACAAUUGUAAUGUUUUUAAAUUAAUAAGCUAAAUGCGCGAAUCUUUCCAAAACAGCAACGUCACUUUGGUCUUUUCUUAGUUUCUUGUCCAGCUGAGAACAGAGGUUUGUCUAGCUCAAGCAUGAGUUUCUAAAUGAAUACGUCCUGCGUUCUGACAUGGUUGAAUUAUCCUUGCUCAUAUUUACGACCAGUCUAAAGCUUAAACAUUACAUAAUCAACGGCUACUUUGAUUUUCUUCCUCUCGCAUACUCGGUGCUCGCUCCCUCCUCGCCUGCCAAAUACCUCCCUGAUAUGGAAGUCCUGGUGUUGCUAUAGGUUUUAAGCCUGACUUUUCUAAGGUUUGAUGUGGUUGCAGCAAAGUUUUUAGUUUCUCAGAUUUUAUUACAUGCAGGCGAGGGAAAAAUGGCGAAGUCAGGUUUCCAAACUUGAAAAUAGUGUGUUUUGGGCGGAAUGCAACCACUGUGGGACGCUUCUUGGUCUUAAGAAGCUAAUACAGGUGCUAUUGGGAAACGUUGAUGUUCUACAGCUCUCUACGAUUCACUGGAUGGAGCUGCUGGUGGCGCAUUUCCUACAUCUGAUACCUUUUUCUUUGGCAUGUAUGAACUGUGUAGUGUGCUAAGUUCACUUGCAAUUAUCGGGUGCAGGUCUUAGAUGGAAUGCGUAGCAUAGCUUCCAAGUGCAAAGGAUUGAAAAGUUCUGGGGACGAAGACCUUCAAGAACUUUUAUCUGCAAUUAUCAGCAACGACACCGAGGUAAAUGCUCUUCCCCGUCACAGUGGUAAGAACUUCUCAUGUCGAAUAUUUAUAUAAAUUUUCUAUCAGGAUGAUGGCGCAUGUUGAUGAUCUCCUGAUAGCAAGAGGGGAGGACGUUCGAUCUCUUCUUGAAGAAGACCUUGACAGAACUCCAUCGUUUUGUUUAUUCUCAAAUACUGUCUUUGCACAGCUUAACCUGGCAGGUAUGUCUUUGAUUUCUUUCUUCUUGAUGUCUAAACUGGCUAGAGAACGACAUCCUAAGCACCGCAGAGCCUGGCGCUGUGGAUCGCCUGAGAUUGGCACUGGCAUCCAACUUGGGCCGUGCCAUCUUGCAAAGCUGAUCGUUUCUUCGUUGUCAAACAAAGGUAGGAUUUCUUCUUGAACUGUACAAUUAAGCAAAUAGUUUGACCGUAGAACUUCGCUAAAAGUCAAUAUUUAGUCAACAUAGUCUUCUGUCAUUGAAAAUGUUAGCUUUUCAUUGUUUUUCAUACUUGCACUCAGCAAUUAAUCUAUACACAUGUACGGCUAUGUUGAUUUGUUAGUCACCCUCAGAACCAAGCACUACACCAGCAUCGUCCCUUCGUACUCUCCCUAGUCUUAGGCACCCGAAGCAUCUCACGCCUGCCUUGGAUGGAUACAAGUCAGGCUCCCAAUCUCGGACAAGCCCAAUCAAGCUUUUGCUACUCUUGCAAAAGGUGCAUGAAACGAGUGUCUGAUUUCACCCUGUUGACGUUCACGGCCCAUUUCAUUUCACCACUCUCUGAGACGAUGCUGUGAAACUUGACUUAGUGGACCUGUGGUUUUCCACAAGCGCUGGUUCCUUUCCAGCGACCGGCUGGGGCAAAGCCGUCUACGCAUUUGGCGAGGAGAGGAAGAAUCCCAACAAGUUAAGUGCUGCAGUUUAUCAUGCCCUAAAAGCAUAAUAUGAUUUUUGGCGUUGGGUCAAGCUAGACUACUGCACCGAAGGAGGCUUGGCGUUUUGCACCAAACGCGUUUGGUGUAGAUGCGUUUCCUGCACCGAACUAGUUUUCUGCACUAAACUAAUCUUUCAGAACGCUCAUCCAAAUCACCUUUUGUUUUUUAACCGGGUAUACCUGCAUUUUUUUGGAGGUAUAUGUAUGACAAAGUCAUGCAGCACGUGCUGCGAUGAGUCACUUCAUUUUGGGAUAAACAUGUUUUGUACACUAAACUAACUCAUUUACCCCAUUAUAAAAAGUGAGUGUACAUACCUCUUCUGGUGUACAUACUUCUUCUGAAGGUGAAUUGCAAUGGCAACCAUGGCGACAAUGCAGGGAGCCUUCGGUUCAUUGAAGGAGAUUGGUGACAUUGUGGCGAAUUUUGAUUUCAGCAAGGUAAAGUUGAACCUGUCUUGCCCAAAGCAGUGCUUAACUCCUUGUGGAAUGCUCCAGAUUGAUGUGCGUUCCAAGACUGCUGAGGAUUACCUCCACACCAACCUGGCACCAUCGUUUGGGGGAUUGAAUGCAGAAACAGUGAAGAAGAUGGAUGAGGUUCUCAAAGUUUGCAUCUCGGGAACCACAGACCUUAUAGCCAAAGUGGCACCGAAAGAGCGAACUUGGGAGAAGGUCAACUCCAUGUUCAUGCAAAAUCCCCUGGUUGAGCCAAUGGGCGAUGGGAUUAGCAGAGCUGACAAGUUUCUCAACAAAAGCUCUAGCGAUUUCA